AGGAAAUGUACUUUUAGAAUAUGGUUUCUCAUUUUUUGUGGACAUGACCUUAAAAACAUGCCCACUAGGUUUAUUCUGGGCUACAUUGGUACCAUUCAGCAUUGUGGGAACAUCU
Molecule: small nucleolar RNA, 115 nt
Filed under: Erinaceus europaeus (western European hedgehog)
Lineage: Eukaryota; Metazoa; Chordata; Mammalia; Eulipotyphla; Erinaceidae
Description: Small nucleolar RNA SNORA32 (ENSEEUG00000016914.1)
Source: RNAcentral